Non-coding RNA from Zea mays, 143 nucleotides. The record is from RefSeq and is marked provisional. NCBI's taxonomy places the organism in Eukaryota, Viridiplantae, Streptophyta, Magnoliopsida, Poales, Poaceae.
GUCAUUGAGCGCAGCGUUGAUGAUGCGGAGCAUGUACGUCUUCCCGGGCUUCACUUUCAGCUUGAACGUGUCUGCGUGCAUGCAUAUCAUAAGUAUGGAUAUGAGUUAGUAUAAAGAAUCAUAGCCGUUAGCGCUCAUUAACU